AAGUACAAAACAAGUAGAUAUAUAGGUAAUCAAGUAUAUACAUAUAUUCUCAUAGAUGAACUGUAUAAUGGAGACUAGCAUAUCAGGAAGUGAAGAUA
Molecule: long non-coding RNA, 98 nt
Organism: Ochotona curzoniae (black-lipped pika)
Lineage: Eukaryota; Metazoa; Chordata; Mammalia; Lagomorpha; Ochotonidae
Exons: 3
Source: RefSeq, a predicted model, not a curated record